This is a long non-coding RNA of Tupaia belangeri chinensis (Chinese tree shrew), 637 nucleotides long. RefSeq lists it as uncharacterized. The record is from RefSeq and is a predicted model, not a curated record. NCBI's taxonomy places the organism in Eukaryota, Metazoa, Chordata, Mammalia, Scandentia, Tupaiidae. The transcript has 4 exons.
AGAACCAUGGUUGGCCAUGUGGGAGUCCCAGCACUUUAGCCACCACGCCACCUGCUGGCUCCUACAAUUACUCUUUAAGAAGCUAACAACUGCCGAAGGAAAACUUUCAGCAAGUUUUUCCAGGAAGUCCACAUCUCAGGAACGCCCGCACCGAAGGCAAAGAGCACCCCCCUCCGUCUGCACAACCAACUAGAGACCAGGGCUCCUCGGGGUUAACCGAAGCUGUUGCAAUGUGCAAAGGUCUCACUCUUUUGGACAGCAGCCCAGAAGAGCCCGCACCUCGAGACAACAGCCAAAGGAAAAAACCUGGAGACUCGUACCCUGGUCUAGAUGUAAAGGUUCUCCUUAAAUACCUUUUGAUAUGCCUGGGGAUUUCUCAAGAAGUCUCGGGGAGUGCUCAGGAGCCAUGCAGGAGGGCCGAGUCUGCCUUCCAGCAGCACGCGUGAUCGAUGCCCAGGCAACUUCUCUGUUUCUGCUGUAAUCUUCGGGAGUCAUUGAUCGUGAGCACGCGCACACCUAACUAGCUGUGCUGGCUGUCAUUGUCUCACCUUCUGAGCAUCAUUUUGGAUUAAACUGCUCUGCUGGUCAAAAUUCCUCUGUGCUAGCUCUGGAUUCUAUUAUUAAACUGGCUUAAGAA